Molecule: ribosomal RNA, 948 nt
Filed under: Triticum aestivum (bread wheat)
Lineage: Eukaryota; Viridiplantae; Streptophyta; Magnoliopsida; Poales; Poaceae
Description: partial small subunit ribosomal RNA
Source: RNAcentral
AGUAUUUCUGAUUGUCUCAUGGAAGCUGCAACAUUUCAAAUGCCUUAUGCACUUAGGAGGCUUUUUGCUACAGUUUUGGCCUUCUGUGAGGUAACACAUGUUCGUGCAUUGUGGGACAAGCACUUUGAAGCCAUGUCUGAUGAUUUUCGUAGGGAGAGCAUAAGUAAUGAAGCAAUUGAGCAGAUGGUGCUUAGAGAUAUUGGAGAUUUUCUAUACUCUAUGGGUAAGGACAUCCAGAGCUUUGAUCUUCCUGAUCUAAUGGAUGCCGGUGAUUUGGAAAGCUUAGAGUAGAGAGAAUUAACUGAAGAGAUGUAUAUUUUAGUUGAUAAAGAAGACUUACAAUUGUGUGAAACUUUGUACAAUGAACAACACCUUGCUUUUGAUGACAUAAUGAACCAUGUUAUACAAAAGAAGGGUAAGGUCUUCUUCAUUGAUGGUCCAGGAGGCACAGGGAAGACAUACCUUUAUAAAGCCUUGCUGGCUAAAGUGCGGUCCAUGGGACUAAUAGCCAUCGCAACAGCAACAUCAGGCAUUGCGGUUUGUAUUAUGCCUGGUGGCAGGACUGCCCAUUCCAGAUUUAAAAUACCAAUAAAUAUUCAAGAAGACACUAUGUGUAACUUCACUAAGAAGAGUGGAACAGCAGAAUUACUUCGAAGAUCAUCUUUGAUAAUUUGGGAUGAAGUUGCCAUGACAAAGCGACAAGCCGUCGAGGCACUUGAUAGAACACUGCAAGAUACUACAGGUUGUAGAUCACCAUUUGGAGGAAAGACAAUAGUGUUUGGGGGUGAUUUCAUGCAAGUCCUCCCUGUGGUGAGGCAUGGCACUAGAGCACAAGUUGUUAAUGCCACUCUUAAAAAAAUCUUAUCUCUGGGAGGAUACACUACUAGGGAAAAGCCUAUACACAGAAUCUUAGCAGCAGCGCGGCUCAAAAAGGAGCGCUGCUGCUAA